RNAcentral lists this ribosomal RNA (253 nucleotides) under uncultured bacterium. RNAcentral's name for it is "partial 16S ribosomal RNA". It matches the Rfam family "Bacterial small subunit ribosomal RNA", at positions 524 to 776 of the family's 1533-position model. The record is from RNAcentral.
UACGUAGGGUGUAAGCGUUAAUCGGAAUUACUGGGCGUAAAGCGUGCGCAGGCGGUUUUGUAAGUCUGUCGUGAAAGCCCCGGGCUCAACCUGGGAAUUGCGAUGGAGACUGCAAGGCUCGAAUCUGGCAGAGGGGGGUAGAAUUCCACGUGUAGCAGUGAAAUGCGUAGAGAUGUGGAGGAACACCGAUGGCGAAGGCAGCCCCCUGGGUCAAGAUUGACGCUCAUGCACGAAAGCGUGGGGAGCAAACAGG